RNAcentral lists this transfer RNA (74 nucleotides) under Taibaiella soli. It matches the Rfam family "tRNA". From Rfam's summary of the family: Transfer RNA (tRNA) molecules are approximately 80 nucleotides in length. RNAcentral also lists the same sequence under 4 other names. The record is from Rfam by way of RNAcentral. Lineage: Bacteria; Pseudomonadati; Bacteroidota; Chitinophagia; Chitinophagales; Chitinophagaceae.
GCUUCCUUAGCUCAGUUGGUUAGAGCAUCUGACUGUUAAUCAGAGGGUCUCAGGUUCAAGUCCUGAAGGGAGCG